Long non-coding RNA from Oncorhynchus gorbuscha (pink salmon), 3427 nucleotides. RefSeq lists it as uncharacterized. The record is from RefSeq and is a predicted model, not a curated record. NCBI's taxonomy places the organism in Eukaryota, Metazoa, Chordata, Actinopteri, Salmoniformes, Salmonidae. The transcript has 3 exons.
UCGUGGCCCAGCUGGCUAGCUUUACUGACAUUGCUAGCUCGUAGUCGCAUUGCUAGCCCGCGGGCGCGUUGCAGGUCGACACAGGUGCGUUCAUUGCUAGGUUGCGGUUGCUAGCCCGCAGACAUGUCACAUGUCUACACGGGUGCGUUCCAGGUGGUCUUCAUUGCUUCAUCAUUUCUGGUUGUAAUUCCAUUAGUUAAUGUAACAGAUUAGCAUAAUUGUUUCUGAUUAUUUUGACUUAUUGGCCUCUACUUGUGUAUUUAUUUUGUACAAAUCCCGAAGCACUAUUGCAGGGCUGACCAAAUAUGUUUCUGAAGAGCUACCAUCCUGUAGGUUUUCACUCCAAACCCAGUAGUAGCUAACGUGAUUCAAUUUAUCAACCAGUUAGUUAGGUGCGCUAGAUAAACUACACAUUCAAACCCAGAAUCCUAUACUGGAUUGCUCCAGACUUCAAAGACAAUAUUUGGGAGAAUAGCCACGCGAGGCUAGUGUUGAACAUAUCACCUAACCACAUACUGGUGGUGUUCCUGCCUGAUUACAUUGCAGACAUUGCAUUGCAUCAACCAAUGGUUGUGACCCAAUUAAUCGACUGUCGGACAUUAAAUUGCUAUAUCAUAUGUGUUUAGCUGAUAUAUUAAACACCUUCCCAAGCUUAGCAAGAUCUGGCAGGUGUCUGCAAUGUAAUCAGGCAGGAAUGCCACCCAUAUGAUAUAGCAGAGCGGUAUAGCAAUCUAAUGCCUGACAGCUCAGUUGAUGACGUAGCAUGCAAAUGACUUGCUAGGCAACUAUAUUGCUUGAUGCAAUGCAUUAUCUGCAAUUUGGUCAGUGCCUGGAGCAUGACCAUCAAUUAGCUGAAUCAGGUAUUUUAGGUUAGGGUUGGACUGAAUACCCACAGGAUGUUAGAUCUCCAGGAAGAGGGUUAGGUAUAUCUGUUGUAACUUAUGUAAGUAGCAGAAUUCCCUUUUUCAAUGAAACUGAAAACAAGCGUUUCUUAUAGGACAAGUUCAGGUAGUCCCUUGCAGUUUCAGUCCAUUUUCAUUAUGUUUGGUGCCUAUUGAAUUCAACUCUGUACUGCCUCCAACCAAGUCCCAGGCUAUUGUGGGCACAAUGCCCCACGAUGGCUCAUUUGCACUUCUAUAGCUUUAGUUUAGUUUUUAUGUAGAGAGCAGUCUCACGCAUUGGUCGUUGAAUGAUGGCCGACCCAGAUCCUAGUUUAUGAAUUCAGAAAGACUGCCACUGCUCACGGGAAAGAUCAAAAGGAAUGAUGUGACAAACUGGUUGUAGUCUCCCAUUUCAUCUGUGUGUAGUAUCUUUAGAUUGGUCUGUUUCACUGGUCCACAGCAAGACUCCUUUUUGCCACACAAUAAUAAUAAUAAUAAUAAUAUAUGCCAUUUAGCGGACGCUUUUAUCCAAAGCGACUUACAGUCAUGUGUGCAUCAGUCGGUGGUAAUUGCUUUUGGUACAGCAUGAUAGGCAAAAUCUCUCCAAAGGUUAUAGUUUUAAUUUAUUAGUAGAACAUAUUAAGGCACAGUAUGAAUUGCAUUUAUCUCAAGGCCAUCACACUGUUAAAUAGCCAUCACUAGCCAGUACCCUGCCCUGAACUUACUCAUUUUCACUAGUUGUCGACCACCCGGUUACUCAACCCUGAAUCCUAGAGACUGCUGCCCUAUGUACAUAGACAUGAAAUCACUGGUCACUUUAAUGAUGAUUACAUACUGCUUUACUCAUUAUUCUAUAUUCAAGUCAAUGCUACUCCGACAUUGCUCAUCCUAAUAUUUUUAUAUUUCUUAAUUCUACUCUUUUACGUUUUGAUUUGUGUGUAUUGUUGUGAAUUGUUAGAUACUACUGCACUGUUGGCGCUAUAGGAACACAAGCAUUCCGCUACACUCGCAAUAACAUCUGCUAAAUAUUUGUAUGCAACCAGUACAAUUUUUAAUUUGAAUACAUCAUAGAAUCAUGUAGACGUUAAAUGUAUCUUUACCAGUAUAGGGUCUGAUAGCAUAAUGUAGGAAAUAGUCAGAAUGGCUUUGUCCUAGCAGGUAGAACUGAUAAGCUGUGACAUGGAUGUCAUGUCUUUCAGGAGUAAAAUGAUGGCUUCCUAUUGUCAUUACACUCCUGUGGUGAUUUGAAGGAUCAGGUUACAGUGGCUCCACUCUACAGCGUGCUCUCUCUUGUAGAGGGGGAGAGCAGGAAAUUGGCUGUUUUAUGGGUCAGUCAUAAAAUAUGCUGCCCUUAUGCUCUGUAGUGUUCGAGAUUGGAAUGUGAACUGUGGAACACAGACACCCUUGGACAUCAAAAGUUAUCGAGUUGGAUUGUUUGGGAGUCGAAACAGCAAUCCUUGUCCACAACCCCGAUGACCCCAUACCAGUCAGCGCAACCACAUCUGGGAGGGCAAAGGAAUUUAUUGAGGGCCAGUUUUCUGUACACAUUUCUUUUAAACCAAUCAGACUUGAUUUUCCUUUGCGUAAAAAUGUGUCAAUUCAUUAUAAUUCACAUUUCCUGUUACUGCACAAUUAUUUUCCUGCUGUAGCAAACUGACUCAAAUUAAGAUCCUACAUCUGUACAUCUAUAAUGACUUUUAAAUACACUCAUAUAGUACUGUGCCUCUUUUAUUGCUACACCUAGGCAAACCUGCAGCUUCACAGUCAAAUGGGUUUGACAAGGCUCGGAUGCAAGGAGUACAAGCCUUAUUCAACCAGAAGUCUAAUGAAGCAGGUGGACUUGCCAGAGUUCCAUACAUGGCUGUGGCUGCCAAGAAGGUGGCCAUUGAGGUAAAGGGCAUGCCAGGUGGGAUAGAGUUUUUUUAAAAGCCCUCCCACUAUGGCAUGGACCAACUAUCUACCAUUUCGGAGGCAGGCCGUGGCAUCAAGUUCACAAUAAGUAAGAUGCAAUGCUUUCUACAAUGUUUCAAUGGAGAAUUGUAAUGUCUUGGUCAUUGAGAUUAACAACAUUGACAUGUACAGGACAUUCCCUUUGAACAGAUACCCAUUGUGGCCAUUGCUCUCAUUAAAGGCAACGGUGGGCUUUGCUAUAAAUGGCCAUCCACCACUUGUUGUCUUUUGGGCCAAUGUGUCUGCUGAUUUUGAAUAUAGUCAUUUCAGAAUUAGAAAUUGGGUAAAUUUGUGUGAGCUCAUUUACCACACUACAUAAUGGAUGAGGUGUUUCAAGUGCAGACACUAAAUUAAACACACAUCUGUUUGUUAUUUGUUCAAAAUGUACUGUAAAUGUAGCCAACAAGUCAACCUGUAUUUUGUCUUUUAUGAAGAACAUACUUUAUUACUUUACACUUUAUUACUUUACAAUUUAUCACUUUGUAAUUGUCUGUAUUUUUUUUUCAGUCAUACAACAGGCAUCCUUGCAGUUGCAAUGAACUCCAUUAUUACUUGUCCAUGAUGAAUUGUUUUUUAAUAAAUGGUUUUUAAACAUU